UGCGGGUGCGUGCGUGAGCGUGCGCGUCCCCGCUGCCGCCGGUGCAACUCCCGCGCCCUCUGCCUCCGCCGCCGCCGCUGCCGCCCGGGUACCCAGGCCGAGGAGCGCGUCGGCCGGCUACCCAGCUGCGCCGCGGAGCGGGGAGCGGAGCCGGGAGCCCGGAGUCGGCGGGCGGGCGGGGACAGUGACCUAACAUGGCAGACCAGAGGCAGCGCUCACUUUCUACCUCGGGAGAGUCACUGUACCAUGUUCUCGGGCUGGACAAGAAUGCGACCUCAGAUGACAUUAAAAAGUCCUAUCGGAAGCUUGCCCUGAAAUAUCACCCUGACAAGAACCCUGAUAACCCAGAGGCUGCAGAUAAGUUCAAGGAGAUCAACAACGCACAUGCCAUCCUGACGGAUGCCACGAAAAGAAACAUCUAUGACAAGUACGGCUCGCUGGGGCUCUAUGUGGCCGAGCAGUUCGGCGAGGAGAACGUCAACACCUACUUCGUGCUCUCCAGCUGGUGGGCCAAGGCCCUCUUCGUCUUCUGUGGCCUCCUUACCUGCUGCUACUGCUGCUGCUGCCUGUGCUGCUGCUUCAACUGCUGCUGCGGGAAGUGCAAGCCCAAGGCCCCUGAGGGCGAGGAGACGGCCUUCUACGUGUCCCCAGAGGACCUGGAGGCACAGCUGCAGUCGGACGAGAGGGGAGGGCACUGACACGGUGCCGCGAGUGUGUGUGGUGGCAGCUGGGACUGUUGAGGUGUAAACGUGGACGCUGAGAGGCCACAGACACGCCGAUUGUCAUUCAGCCCGCGUCCGCCACAGAGACCACCCAGCUCACGGCCGACUCCCACCCCAGCUACCACACUGACGGGUUCAACUAGGUUCAGGAGUUGCUGUGACUCCAGGAGGGAUCAGCACCCAGCACCGCAACCUUAGAUCCAUGAACUAGUCACCAGAUGGGGAGGCUCCGCGUCGGGCCUCCCUCCUCCACGCCCGCUGCCCGUCGACCCUCGAUGCCUGAAGUGCGUAGCAUGCAGUAUUUAAAGCAGUGUAGCUACGGUCUUCUGCUCUCCUUUUCUAGUAGCAUGUAUGGUCGUGUUCAGUGUCUGUGUUGUGGACCCAGUGCGGCUCGACCACGCUCGCUGGACAGUGGAGCUGCCUCAGGGCUUUCAGCCAGGUUGGUCCAGUGAGGGUGGACUGGGCAGGAAGGGCCUUGCUCCUGUACUCACGGGGCUGGGGUCAAUGCUGCCUAGCAGAGCCGCAUCUCCACCUUGGCCAUGGGUCAUGGACCUGGCUCAUCUGGCCCUUCAGGAACGAGCUGGGCCAGGUCCUCUGGAACCACAGGACCGUGGCCGUCUGUGGUGCUGUGUUGGCACAGUAUGCGCAGAGCCUCUGCACCUUGUUCCGCCUUGCGGCAGGUUCUCCAGUGGUGUGUGCUGUGGACAGUGUGUGCACCCCCGCAGGUGUGCUCUCUGCACAGCGUCUGCCCGGGCAUCCUGGCUGUGGGGCCUAAGGGUCCUGUCCUGGGAGGGCACCCCUCCUGAUGUGUGAGGUCCUUCGUCUCUGUUCCUGCACUUUCCCAGGCUGAGCUGGACGGCUGGAUGGGGCCGUCAUCUCUCCCCUUCCCUGGGUCAUUCUCCAUACCCCUUUGAGCCCACCUGUUUUCUUAGUCAUUUUGGACUUUGAAGAACCACAUGUGGUUUCAGUCAGGGUUUGAGUCCAAGUGGGAGGAUGAAGGGCUCAAGUGAGCUCCCAGGCCCUGGGACCCUCCUCCUGUGCUUGCCAGAGCUUCGUCCACCCCACUUGCCCUCACCUCUGCCUGUCGUCUUCAAUCAGCAAUGGAACCCUGGGUUCCUGGAGGAAGGUGCUGGAGCCAGGAUGUUCCUGGCCUCAGGAGGGCUGGGUCCUAGGGAGGCUGUGGGAUGCCCUGCUCGCCAGCCAGCCUGGGUGGCUGGUGCUGGACACGGAACUCUGAACCACAGACCUGUGGGUGGUGAGGAAAUGUGAGUACACAUGUCAAGGCUUUGAGGCCACCCUGUGCCCCCAACAAUUUCCUGGAUGUGCCGGACCAGAGUCCAAUGGGCCGAGUUCCUACAGGACCUUCCGGAAGCCUGCUGCUGAGCAUCUUCUGAAUUUCUAGUAGAAAUGAAGAGUGAGAAAACCCAUAUGGUGACCACAUGGUCCAGACAAACCACCCUGAGCUCCCAAUCCCCCUGCCCCUACUCCCUACAGCUCUGGGCUCCUGCUUGCCGGGGACUGCAGAAGGCAGGGCUUUGGAAUUCUGGUGCUGGUUGAGGGUACCCAACGAGGUCCAGUGAGGCUGCUGUGAUGCCAGGGCCCCCAGCUGACCUUCCUGCAGGUGGACAUGGGCAAGGCGCUGCCUAGGCAACAGGCCCUGGGAUGUGUGUGUCCAUUUUGCUCAUUGAACGAUCAUGAAGAUACUGAGCAAUAGGGCCACAUGCUAGGGUGUCACGCUGGAAAUGCUGUUAGCUCAGACCCCUCGUGGAGGAUGGGAACCACCAGUGGGCCCAUCGACAGCCCAGCAGGCAGCCCAAGGGCCAGUCGCAGCACAGCAGCAGCAAGGGCUCAACCUCUGCACUUUUCCCUGGGACCAUUAGGAGUGAAUUGCUUCCCCAGAACGGACCCAGGGCCACAGAAUGGAGGAGAGGUAGAAAGCCAUAGUGUGACGACUGGUCUGGGUCUAUGGGACAGCCCUCCUGGCAUGCAGCCCUGUGGUCCUUUUCUCAUGUCCCUGUGAGCUGUGGCCACUUCUUAGGAGAAAGGUGCUCCCUAGAUGGCAGCUGGGGUGGGAAUAGCCACUGGGCCCAGUGUCCUGUGGGGUCUGAAAUGUAAGUGAAUCAUGUAGGAUUUCUAACACCACGAACAGGACGUGGGCUCUGAAGCCACCGUCAGAGUGCAUCCCUCACCUGCUCAAGGCAGAUGCUGCUGCAGGGUGCACUGUGUUGGUCUGUGGCCACCCUGGUUCUGUUUCCCUUUCAAUAAGCACAGCUGGUGAGUCUUGGAGGUCAGCCUGACCCCCAUAUCCCCAGCUCCUGGUGCAUGGUGUAUUGCCUGGGGAGUGCUAGGGUUAGUGUGCUUGGAAGCUCGUCCAUAGCAGUGGUGCCCUGCAGGGUCCAGGCCACCUACGGUAGCUCUGGGAUGUAGAGAUUCCUGUGUCCGCCCAGGGCUGUGGUCUUGUCUUGUCUUCCUUUGGCUUCAUUCUGUUUUAAGCUGCUUUAGAUAUUGUUGCUCCAUGUUGAGCCUUCGUAGUUCUCUGGUGUUCAGUUAAUUCAGCCAGUGUCCAGUGGGGACCCAUUAAAGAGAGAAGCCAGAGUGCUCGCCUGUCUUCAUGCUGCUUGCUGGACUGGGCUGCAGCUCCAGUCUGGAAGCCCUGAGUCAUAAAACGGUCAAGACUCUUCUCAGAUGUCAUCACCCAGGUUUUACCAGCUCAUGGUCCUGUUGAGUCCAGACGAACCUUGUGCCAGAGGCAUGUCCACCAGCACAGAGGCCCUGCAGGCUGUCCCUCGAAGGUCCAGGUGCUGUGGGCAGAGGUGUGGUGGGUCUGCCCAUCCUCUUGACCUCAGUGUACUCUGGUGGAUAGCUGGUGAGAAGCAUGGCAAGCGCCUGGUGCCACUCUUUCCCAGUGCCGAGCUGUGGCCCCUGUGGCCCACGACUGACCAGUUCCCGUUAUUUUGGUUCUGAAACCCCUGCUGUGGACUGUCCUCACAGGUGCAGUUGUGUCGACAGGUGCUGUGGGCAUGGGCUGUGGUGUCUGUGUGUACAUAUGUGUAUAUGUAUAUAUCACGCAGCAGGCCCCUCGUGCUGCUGUCCAGUGGCGAAGCAACAAGUACAAUAAAGUUGGCUCCAAAGUG
This is an RNA transcript of Sciurus carolinensis (gray squirrel), 3856 nucleotides long. It is a transcript of the gene named DnaJ heat shock protein family (Hsp40) member C5, with no coding region annotated. The transcript is spliced from 6 exons. Lineage: Eukaryota; Metazoa; Chordata; Mammalia; Rodentia; Sciuridae. The record is from RefSeq and is a predicted model, not a curated record.